UACAGAGGUCCCAAACGUUGUUCGGAUUCACUGGGCGUAAAGGGUGCGUAGGCGGUCGGGUAAGUCUGAUGUGAAAUCUCACAGCUUAACUGUGAAACUGCAUUGGAUACUAUCCGGCUCGAGGAAUGGAGGGGAGACUGGAAUACUUGGUGUAGCAGUGAAAUGCGUAGAUAUCAAGUGGAACACCAGUGGCGAAGGCGGGUCUCUGGACAUUUCCUGACGCUGAGGCACGAAAGCCAGGGGAGCAAACGGG
This 253-nucleotide ribosomal RNA is filed under the name uncultured bacterium. Its description in RNAcentral is "partial 16S ribosomal RNA". It matches the Rfam family "Bacterial small subunit ribosomal RNA", at positions 524 to 776 of the family's 1533-position model. The record is from RNAcentral.